GAAAAGUUUUAUUUAGAGUUGCAAAUUGGGUUGUUCUUGAAAGAAAAUUUGCUUUAAGAAUUUAAUCUCUGAAAAGCAAAGACAGAGAGAGGGAUCCAAUCAUCGAAGUGGGUGUGUGUCAUAGGCAGUCAAGUCCUUUUCUGAGCCAUGAACGUACAGUGCCAUCUUCUUCUACUUCUUGCUUCCUCUUUCUUCCUUGUUAAAGUCUUGGAGUCACGCGUUCUCUCUCUCACUCUCUCUCUCAUGCAAUUGCCCUCCUUUCUUUAUCAUGCGAAAAACAUAUAUAAACAAACCUGCAGUGCUAUGCCCACAUACAAGAAGCAAAGGAGAGAGAUAGAGAGAGAACAAAAAUGGUGGGG
Molecule: unclassified non-coding RNA, 359 nt
Filed under: Hevea brasiliensis (rubber tree)
Lineage: Eukaryota; Viridiplantae; Streptophyta; Magnoliopsida; Malpighiales; Euphorbiaceae
Source: RNAcentral